UACGUAGGCAGCGAGCGUUGUUCGGAGUUACUGGGCGUAAAGAGUGCGUAGGCGGUUUUCUAAGUUUGGUGUGAAAUCUCCCGGCUCAACUGGGAGGGUGCGCCGAAGACUGGAAGGCUUGAGUAUGGGAGAGGUAAGCGGAAUUCCUGGUGUAGCGGUGAAAUGCGUAGAUAUCAGGAGGAACACCGGUGGCGAAGGCGGAUCUCUGGGCCAUUACUGACGCUGAGGAGCGAAAGCGUGGGGAGCGAACAGG
RNAcentral lists this ribosomal RNA (253 nucleotides) under uncultured bacterium. Its description in RNAcentral is "partial 16S ribosomal RNA". It matches the Rfam family "Bacterial small subunit ribosomal RNA", at positions 524 to 776 of the family's 1533-position model. The record is from RNAcentral.